UACGGGGGGGGCAAGCGUUGUUCGGAAUUACUGGGCGUAAAGGGCUCGUAGGCGGCCAACUAAGUCAGACGUGAAAUCCCUCGGCUUAACCGGGGAACUGCAUCUGAUACUGGAUGGCUUGAGUUCGGGAGAGGGAUGCGGAAUUCCAGGUGUAGCGGUGAAAUGCGUAGAUAUCUGGAGGAAUACCGGUGGCGAAGGCGGCAUCCUGGACCGACACUGACGCUGAGGAGCGAAAGCCAGGGGAGCAAACGGG
Molecule: ribosomal RNA, 253 nt
Filed under: uncultured bacterium
Lineage: Bacteria
Description: partial 16S ribosomal RNA
Rfam family: Bacterial small subunit ribosomal RNA
Source: RNAcentral